This 348-nucleotide ribosomal RNA is filed under the name Triticum aestivum (bread wheat). RNAcentral's name for it is "partial small subunit ribosomal RNA". The stretch from base 157 to 348 matches the Rfam family "Bacterial large subunit ribosomal RNA", at positions 1 to 206 of the family's 2925-position model. Lineage: Eukaryota; Viridiplantae; Streptophyta; Magnoliopsida; Poales; Poaceae. The record is from RNAcentral.
AUGGGAUUCCAACUCAGCACCUUUUGUUUUGAGAUUUUGAGAAGAGUUGCUCUUUGGAGAGCACAUUCGAUCUAUGAUUUCACAUUCAUGGACGUUGAUAAGAUCCUUCCAUUUACUAGCACCUUAGGAUGGCAUAGCCUUAACGUUAAUGGCGAGGUUCAAAAGAGGAAAGGCUUGCGGUGGAUACCUAGGCACCCAGAGACGAGGAAGGGCGUAGCAAGCGACGAAAUGCUUCGGGGAGUUGAAAAUAAGCAUAGAUCCGGAGAUUCCCAAAUAGGUCAACCUUUUAAACUGCCUGCUGAAUCCAUGAGCAGGCAAGAGACAACCUGGCGAACUGAAACAUCUUAG